ACGAACGCUGGCGGCGUGCUUAACACAUGCAAGUCGAACGAGAAGAGAUGAGAAGCUUGNUUCUAUCAAUUCGAGUGGCAAACGGGUGAGUAACGCGUAAGCAACCUGCCCUUCAGAUGGGGACAACAGCUGGAAACGGCUGCUAAUACCGAAUACGUUCUCUUUAUCGCAUGGUAGAGGGAAGAAAGGGAGGCUCUUCGGAGCUUUCGCUGGAGGAGGGGCUUGCGUCUGAUUAGCUAGUUGGAGGGGUAACGGCCCACCAAGGCGACGAUCAGUAGCCGGUCUGAGAGGAUGAACGGCCACAUUGGGACUGAGACACGGCCCAGACUCCUACGGGAGGCAGCAGUGGGGAAUCUUCCGCAAUGGACGAAAGUCUGACGGAGCAACGCCGCGUGAACGAUGACGGCCUUCGGGUUGUAAAGUUCUGUUAUACGGGACGAAUGGCGUAGCGGUCAAUACCCGUUACGAGUGACGGUACCGUAAGAGAAAGCCACGGCUAACUACGUG
RNAcentral lists this ribosomal RNA (507 nucleotides) under uncultured bacterium. RNAcentral's name for it is "bacterial SSU rRNA". It matches the Rfam family "Bacterial small subunit ribosomal RNA", at positions 29 to 507 of the family's 1533-position model. The record is from RNAcentral.